Anopheles stephensi (Asian malaria mosquito) is the source of this 1031-nucleotide long non-coding RNA. RefSeq lists it as uncharacterized. NCBI's taxonomy places the organism in Eukaryota, Metazoa, Arthropoda, Insecta, Diptera, Culicidae. The record is from RefSeq and is a predicted model, not a curated record. The transcript is spliced from 2 exons.
CACACAAGGACCACAGAGUGUUUCAGUGUGCAGGAGGAGUCCAUGCUGCUACCGGCUAGUGGAUUUUAAGAAUACGAUAUUUUGAAUCGAGAGAUGGAUAAAAAAAAGUCACUGACGGGCUCUCAACGUGUGGAAUACAGCUGUGUCCAACACACUGUUGAAUGUAAAUUUAUGCCCGUGUAACGGAAGCCCUCAACCGUCGCUGGACGAUCAAUUUGACCUGACGACCUUCUCGCGGUAUCGAAGGAUUUCCACUCCUGCCUCGGGAGGAAGAAACACAAGUGCCGUUACGACCGAUACUGUGGGAACGAAAGAAUAAUUUCCCGACCACACUCACAACACGCGGAACAAUUUUCAACCAACCAACCAAGCGGCUCGUAUGCUCCUUUAUGCAAUGAUAAUAAUGUUCGAACGAGCGGCGAGGUUGCGACUCGACGGGAAACAUAUCGCAAAGUAAUCAAACACAAUGACAACAUUUCAUCGUAAAUAGGCGCUCCACAUGUUCCCGCUUCACGCGGCGAUGCGCCGCUCGCAUUUCCAGACUAAGGCAUCGGAACUAUCCACGAAAUACUGUUCGCAUCGCGAGUAAGGUACAGAAUUCCGUGUUGCGGUACAGGAAUAUAGGAUGAAGUAUUGCUCAAUGCGGUAUAUCUCCUCCGCCAUGUAGUUACUCCCGACCGCGUUGAUACGAAGGACUCGUACAACCAUACGACGAUGUCAUUCACCUUCCACCAAACUGAUCACGAGCGCCCGGUGACUUCAUCUGAAUAUAAAUCGACUUAUUUUGCAGCACUAGACCUCCUCCGUUCGGCAAGGCGCGAGUCGUGGGAGGUAUCUGUUCGUAGAUUGACUAGCGGACCGUUUACCUACUCUUUGCCGAAAGAGGUUCAUCUUAUCACGAUCAUUAUGCGUACUCCAUAAGCAACAGGCAACAAAGCGCGAACACACCAUUCAGCAGUCCCUUUUCCCGGGGUCCAUGUGUCUGCGAGCGAUACUAAUUGUAAACAAAUAAAUUAAACAUCCAUCACUGA